CGGGUGAGUAACACGUGGGUAACCUGCCUGUAAGACUGGGAUAACUCCGGGAAACCGGAGCUAAUACCGGAUAGUUCCUUGAACCGCAUGGUUCAAGGAUGAAAGACGGUUUCGGCUGUCACUUACAGAUGGACCCGCGGCGCAUUAGCUAGUUGGUGAGGUAACGGCUCACCAAGGCGACGAUGCGUAGCCGACCUGAGAGGGUGAUCGGCCACACUGGGACUGAGACACGGCCCAGACUCCUACGGGAGGCAGCAGUAGGGAAUCUUCCGCAAUGGACGAAAGUCUGACGGAGCAACGCCGCGUGAGUGAUGAAGGUUUUCGGAUCGUAAAGCUCUGUUGUUAGGGAAGAACAAGUGCAAGAGUAACUGCUUGCACCUUGACGGUACCUAACCAGAAAGCCACGGCUAACUACGUGCCAGCAGCCGCGGUAAUACGUAGGUGGCAAGCGUUGUCCGGAAUUAUUGGGCGUAAAGGGCUCGCAGGCGGUUUCUUAAGUCUGAUGUGAAAGCCCCCGGCUCAACCGGGGAGGGUCAUUGGAAACUGGGAAACUUGAGUGCAGAAGAGGAGAGUGGAAUUCCACGUGUAGCGGUGAAAUGCGUAGAGAUGUGGAGGAACACCAGUGGCGAAGGCGACUCUCUGGUCUGUAACUGACGCUGAGGAGCGAAAGCGUGGGGAGCGAACAGGAUUAGAUACCCUGGUAGUCCACGCCGUAAACGAUGAGUGCUAAGUGUUAGGGGGUUUCCGCCCCUUAGUGCUGCAGCUAACGCAUUAAGCACUCCGCCUGGGGAGUACGGUCGCAAGACUGAAACUCAAAGGAAUUGACGGGGGCCCGCACAAGCGGUGGAGCAUGUGGUUUAAUUCGAAGCAACGCGAAGAACCUUACCAGGUCUUGACAUCCUCUGACAACCCUAGAGAUAGGGCUUUCCCUUCGGGGACAGAGUGACAGGUGGUGCAUGGUUGUCGUCAGCUCGUGUCGUGAGAUGUUGGGUUAAGUCCCGCAACGAGCGCAACCCUUGAUCUUAGUUGCCAGCAUUCAGUUGGGCACUCUAAGGUGACUGCCGGUGACAAACCGGAGGAAGGUGGGGAUGACGUCAAAUCAUCAUGCCCCUUAUGACCUGGGCUACACACGUGCUACAAUGGACAGAACAAAGGGCUGCGAGACCGCAAGGUUUAGCCAAUCCCACAAAUCUGUUCUCAGUUCGGAUCCGCAGU
This 1215-nucleotide ribosomal RNA is filed under the name Bacillus pumilus. RNAcentral describes it as "bacterial SSU rRNA". It matches the Rfam family "Bacterial small subunit ribosomal RNA", at positions 103 to 1305 of the family's 1533-position model. The record is from RNAcentral. Lineage: Bacteria; Bacillati; Bacillota; Bacilli; Caryophanales; Bacillaceae.